UUGAGCGGGGGGACAACAUUUGGAAACGAAUGCUAAUACCGCAUAACAACUUUAAACACAAGUUUUAAGUUUGAAAGAUGCAAUUGCAUCACUCAAAGAUGAUCCCGCGUUGUAUUGGCUAGUUGGUGAGGUAAAGGCUCACCAAGGCGAUGAUACAUAGCCGACCUGAGAGGGUGAUCGGCCACAUUGGGACUGAGACACGGCCCAAACUCCUACGGGAGGCAGCAGUAGGGAAUCUUCGGCAAUGGACGAAAGUCUGACCGAGCAACGCCGCGUGAGUGAAGAAGGUUUUCGGAUCGUAAAACUCUGUUGGUAGAGAAGAACGUUGGUGAGAGUGGAAAGCUCAUCAAGUGACGGUAACUACCCAGAAAGGGACGGCUAACUACGUGCCAGCAGCCGCGGUAAUACGUAGGUCCCGAGCGUUGUCCGGAUUUAUUGGGCGUAAAGCGAGCGCAGGUGGUUUAUUAAGUCUGGUGUAAAAGGCAGUGGCUCAACCAUUGUAUGCAUUGGAAACUGGUAGACUUGAGUGCAGGAGAGGAGAGUGGAAUUCCAUGUGUAGCGGUGAAAUGCGUAGAUAUAUGGAGGAACACCGGUGGCGAAAGCGGCUCUCUGGCCUGUAACUGACACUGAGGCUCGAAAGCGUGGGGAGCAAACAGGAUUAGAUACCCUGGUAGUCCACGCCGUAAACGAUGAGUGCUAGAUGUAGGGAGCUAUAAGUUCUCUGUAUCGCAGCUAACGCAAU
RNAcentral lists this ribosomal RNA (742 nucleotides) under Lactococcus lactis. RNAcentral's name for it is "bacterial SSU rRNA". It matches the Rfam family "Bacterial small subunit ribosomal RNA", at positions 132 to 861 of the family's 1533-position model. Lineage: Bacteria; Bacillati; Bacillota; Bacilli; Lactobacillales; Streptococcaceae. The record is from RNAcentral.